ACCCCCACGAAAAGACAACUUAUCACAAAAACCUAAAGAGGUCCAGUUAGGCGCUUCCUCCGCGUGCUCUAACCCUUACACAGUUCUAGAUGUUCUUCCUCUUCUCCACCACCCCCGACAUUGUACCCGAUGACAGGGUGUUGUGGGCAGUCUUAACUAUCUAACGUUCGGAUCAAUCAAGGUAACGCACAGUCCUGACAGGCUUCCUGGACAGGGUAAGGCGCUGUCCGAGGGCAGCAUUCAGCAACAGACCAAAGAUUGACGACCAUGACAUUGUUGAAGUCACUUCUGGUGUCCGCCUCCCUGGAUCCACCUCCUCUUGCCAGGAGCCAAUAAUACUAGAAGUGGCACACUGAUCAGGAUUUAACGACCAUUGUUGAGGAUGGAGAGACGAGAGGAAAUUAGCCAGUUACAUGCCAUGAUGGCAGAAAUCAGGGCUCAAAAGGCCCAUGUAGGGGAGCAACAGACACAGCUUGCUGAGGUACAUAAUCAAACCUCUCUCCAACAGGAACGAUUGUUGGGUCCAUCCUAGUUGUUGCUUCUAUUACACCCAGAUGACGAUAUUGAGAAUGUUUUUUGUAGUGUAUGAAUGAGUGCACCAGUGCCCAUCAUCAGUGAGAGCAUGUGGAAUGGGCAAAGUACUGGCACAGGUUUUGAGGGGCCUAUUAUUAUUUUGAUGAGCAGGCUGCUGGUGAAUAUGACCAACUAGAAGCAGAGGCUUUAAUUCCUCAAAUAGUCCCAUAGUCCUGGUCCCUAAGCCCACAGAGAGCUGGCGCUUUUGCAAUGACUUUCAUCAACUUAAUCAAGUCUGCCAAUUCAAUGCAUAUCUGAUGCUGCGAGUUGACAAACUCCUCAAGCGAUCUGGUAAGGCUCAAUAUUUGACCACACUUGAUAUGAUGAAAGUGUACUGGCAAAUUCCUUUAACAGAAUCUGCCAAGGUAAAGAUCGCAUUCAGCAACAACAGCAGCCAUUGGCAGUAUCGUGUUACCGUGCUUCUGUGAUUUUCCAGUGUCUGGUGGAUAGAGUGCUGCGGCCGCACAACGCUUAUAGUGCCCCAUACAUGGAUAACAUUGUCAUUGAUUCAGCACAUUGGAUUCACAUUGUAUUCGUUCAUGUGGUGCUCCUGGGACUGAGCAAAGUUGGCAUAUGCAUCAAACUGAAGAAAUGUUUCUUCGGAUUGACCAAAGUCAAAUAUUUAGGCUACUUGGUGGGUAGGGGCGUCAUUCAUCCACAAUGCACCAAAAUAGAUGCCACCAUGAACUGGCCCCAUCUGAAGAACAGGAAGCAGAUGCAAGCUUUCUUAGGAGUAGUAGGCUACUACCGCCAGUUUGUUGCUCAUUUUCCUGAGAUAGCAGACCUUACAAAGAAGAUGGCUCCUAACAUGGUAGUAUAGGAUGUUAAAACAAAGGCCACAUUCUGUGACUUAAAACAGGUGUUUACGUCAGCACUGGUAUUGAUCACACUUUUCUUGUGCUUUUAUCUUACUACCUCCUAGGACAUGAGUUCACUCUGGUAACCCUACAGUGGAAUCCUUGUGUGACCUGGUGGUUUUUGGAUCUGCAACCUUUUUGGUUCAAAGUCCUUCAUCGUUGGGGCUUACUCCAUACCAAUGCUGAUUUACUUUCUCAGGUUCAUGACAGGUCUGGGCCAGGGAGGUGGAAGGGGGUGGUGGUAAGGGUGGGACGGUUUAAUGGCUCAGAUAGGUGUGAUUUCUUGCCUGACCGAGGCCUUUUCUCUUCCUCUAUCUGCAGACCGGAUGAUCGACGACCAUGAAAUUGGUGAUGUCACUUCCGGUGUCCGACUCCCUAUAUUCGUCUCUUCCUGCCAGAAGCCAAUAAUACCAGAAGUUCUGCCAUCUUGAGGAGUCUGUUUUGGAGACUCGCAUCUAUACAACAUGUUCUUUUUCUUUUUGAAGCAUCAAAAUCUGUGUUUUAUUUAAAAUAAACAUAUACAGUAUAUAGAUUUGGGGCACCAACUGGAUUGUCCCAUUUAAUAUUAAGGAAAAAUAAACAAAAGUAACUCCCUCUUGGUGUGCUUGUCCUCAAUCUCAGGCCAAAAACAGCAAAAGAAUCAAUCCAAGUCAUAGGGUCAUUUUGUAUCAGGAGCUCCACCUAGCAGCUUGU
Erpetoichthys calabaricus (reedfish) is the source of this 2123-nucleotide long non-coding RNA. RefSeq lists it as uncharacterized. Lineage: Eukaryota; Metazoa; Chordata; Cladistia; Polypteriformes; Polypteridae. The transcript is spliced from 3 exons. The record is from RefSeq and is a predicted model, not a curated record.